RNAcentral lists this ribosomal RNA (319 nucleotides) under uncultured eukaryote. RNAcentral describes it as "partial 18S ribosomal RNA". It matches the Rfam family "Eukaryotic small subunit ribosomal RNA", at positions 1470 to 1796 of the family's 1831-position model. The record is from RNAcentral.
CCCUUAGAUGAUUUGGGCUGCACGCGCGCUACACUGACCCUAACAAUGAGCAACUGUCUGGCCUGAGAUGGCUGGGUAGCCUUUUCAACCCAUGUCAUGAUUGGGCUAGAUUUUUGUAAGUCUUGAUCUCUAACGAGGAAUCCCUAGUAUGCGUGAAUCAUCAAUCCAUGCAGAUUAUGUCCCUGCCCUUUGUACACACCGCCCGUCGCUCCUACUGAUUGGGUGAUCCGGUGAGCUGUUCGGCCAUAGCAAUGUUUCUUGAGCAGGGCAAGGAAUGUUUCGCAAACCUUGCCACUUAGAGGAAGGAGAAGUCGUAACA